UACGUAGGAGGCAAGCGUUGUCCGGAAUUACUGGGUGUAAAGCGCGUGUAGGCGGCAGGCCAAGUCUGUGGUGAAAUCGCUCGGCUCAACUGGGCGGGGUCCAUGGAAACUGGUCAGCUGGAGGACGGUAGAGGUGAGUGGAAUUCCCGGUGUAGUGGUGAAAUGCGUAGAGAUCGGGAGGAACACCAAUUGCGAAGGCAGCUCGCUGGGACGUUACUGACGCUGAGACGCGAAAGCGUGGGGAGCAAACAGG
This 253-nucleotide ribosomal RNA is filed under the name uncultured bacterium. RNAcentral describes it as "partial 16S ribosomal RNA". It matches the Rfam family "Bacterial small subunit ribosomal RNA", at positions 524 to 776 of the family's 1533-position model. The record is from RNAcentral.